GAGGGUGUAGCUCAGUGGUCGAGCACAUGCUUAGCAUACACAAGGUCCUGGGUUCCAUUACCAGCACCUCCA
This 72-nucleotide transfer RNA is filed under the name Camelus ferus (Wild Bactrian camel). It matches the Rfam family "tRNA". From Rfam's summary of the family: Transfer RNA (tRNA) molecules are approximately 80 nucleotides in length. Lineage: Eukaryota; Metazoa; Chordata; Mammalia; Artiodactyla; Camelidae. The record is from Rfam by way of RNAcentral.